UAAAGAAGAGAUGCUAGGAAUUUCAUAUGGAGAGCUUUUUCUCUUGCUUGGCGCUACUGCUUCCCCCCUCGUUUGGGUUCAAUAUGUGAUUCCAGAGUAGUCUUCUUCCUAAUUUAGGUGUUCAAAAUCGAAUUUAGACGUCGAUUUGACCAUUUUUAGGGUGAUAUUCCUCGUAAUUUCUUUAAAUUUUGAAAAACAUUAGUAGGUGAUAAUUAAAGUUAUCUAUUGAGUGAUUAAGUUUUGAUUGCAAGGGUAUGCAAACUAUCAAUUAUGCUUCAAUUUCAAACUAGUUGAGCUUGGCUAUAUAAGUGUCCUGUAUCAGUUUUACUUUAUUCAGACCCUUUUCAUUUGAUGUGCAGUAUGAAUAAGUUGAUGGUUAAGUCUCAUAAUUUUGACCUUAGAAUUGAAAUACUUGUAAUUAUUUGAAAUACUUGAAGUAAAGUCCUUCCAAAGGUACAAGUGAAAUUGGAUGAGAUCAGUAUUGCGGUCUUUGACUUGAUACUGCUGAAGUGAGGUUGUCUUAGAAGAAGGAGAUUAGGUGUGGUUAGAUUAAGUCACUUCCAAAAAGUUCAAGUUAUUGUGAUCAGAAUUAGAGUUAGACGAAAUCACAUUUUAAUGGCCAUUUCUGCAUCACGAAUCAUGUUGUCUUAUAUGUGAUGGGUGAUAGGGUGGCAGCUGCCAUAUUGUUUGAAUGGGUUUCCGAUCCAGUUGAUGUUCCGACAUCCCAAAUCGAGGUGGCUCUAAACUCAGGUUUCCUACCUCUCUAGUUACAGAGAGAGGAGAGGGGCGUUGAAGCCUUAAUUCGAGCUAGAAAUCUCGCUAGAGAACUAGCCAUAUCAAUCUAGAUUCUAGAUGGUGUAAAUACUAGCUUGUGCGCACCCUGAGUAUUCCACCAGAUGAAGCAAAGGGGUCUGACAUUGUGUUAGAAGCGAUACUGGAGGCAGAAGUGGCAAAUAAUGCCAAAGAGUUCUUCUCGCAGCCACCAAACCAAUUAAAAAGUGAAUGAAGAGGUACAUCUGAAGAAGAUUUGCGCCAUUAGAGGUCAGAAAUCAGCUUCAUGCCAAGGGAGCCUGAUGAAAGAUUGCUAAAGACUGAAUGAUUUUAGCCUAAUUCGAGUCUCUUGUUGUGGUUUUUGAGCCAUGAUACCUCGUUUGUUCAGAUAUCAUAGGCAUCUAAAGAACAUAAGACCCGUGUUGCCACAAGGGAAACUACUCAUCUUGUUUGACUGAUGGUUUUCUGCAACCAGUUCUACCUAUUUCUUAACCCUUCUAAAUGACCCGUGUUGACAGAUGCUUGGAUUUUAGAGUUCUUUCAUGUUUGUUAUAAUUUCUGAACUUUCCCUCUUCUCCGGCCAAGCCGUAUAUGUUGCAUAUGAACUUCUUUGCAAUAUAAUUGGCAGAAAACUGUUGAACUAA
This is a long non-coding RNA of Solanum tuberosum (potato), 1415 nucleotides long. RefSeq lists it as uncharacterized. NCBI's taxonomy places the organism in Eukaryota, Viridiplantae, Streptophyta, Magnoliopsida, Solanales, Solanaceae. The record is from RefSeq and is a predicted model, not a curated record. The transcript is spliced from 3 exons.